CGGACGGGGGAGUAAUGUCUGGGAAACUGCCUGAUGGAGGGGGGUAACUACUGGAAACGGUAGCUAAUACCGCAUAACGUCGCAAGACCAAAGAGGGGGACCUUCGGGCCUCUUGCCAUCGGAUGUGCCCAGAUGGGAUUAGCUAGUAGGUGGGGUAACGGCUCACCUAGGCGACGAUCCCUAGCUGGUCUGAGAGGAUGACCAGCCACACUGGAACUGAGACACGGUCCAG
This 232-nucleotide ribosomal RNA is filed under the name uncultured bacterium. RNAcentral's name for it is "partial 16S ribosomal RNA". It matches the Rfam family "Bacterial small subunit ribosomal RNA", at positions 99 to 334 of the family's 1533-position model. The record is from RNAcentral.